This 69-nucleotide transfer RNA is filed under the name Kribbella aluminosa. RNAcentral's name for it is "tRNA-Trp". It matches the Rfam family "tRNA". Rfam says of the family: Transfer RNA (tRNA) molecules are approximately 80 nucleotides in length. Their secondary structure includes four short double-helical elements and three loops (D, anti-codon, and T loops). Lineage: Bacteria; Bacillati; Actinomycetota; Actinomycetes; Propionibacteriales; Kribbellaceae. The record is from RNAcentral.
GCCGGCGUGCAAUGGUUGCGGACCGGAUUCCAAACCCGCGUCAAGAGGGUUCGACUCCCUCCGUCGGUG